GUUAUGUACAAAGGUUGCAAAAAGCCACAGGCAGAAGUUACUGAGUUAUGAUCAAGCACAGAAUAAAUGUUCGUUUUGCCAGUUUUCUCUCAAAAAGAAAAUAUUAACAUCUGUUACAUUUAGCUCACAGAGAUCUCAAACAGCCCUUUGAUUCAUUUAGCAGGUGCUGCCUUUGGCUUAUUUAAAAGGUACUCUGAAUACCCAUUAUACAAUUUAUAACACAAUCCAUGGAUGCUGGAAGCAGAUUGUAAUGCAUUCUAUGGGACUUCCUGAGGGUUCCAGCUCAUGUGGAGAGCUUCCAGAGACGUAGCUUGUCAGACUACAAUAGCUUCUCUGAGCUGUGAAAUCCCAGAAGUGCAAGACAGAGAAGAGAUCAUGCGUGCUGCAGUGACACAGCUAAAAGAAUGGAAGACAAAUCGAAUGAUGGAUGGAGUAGAGGAAGGAAAGCCAAAUCUUGCAGCCCUUUGGGAAUGGGAGAUUUCCUCAGGAUGCAGAAAUAUGCACACAAGCAGGUGCAUAUCUAUGCACAGUGGUACUGCUUUAAAUGUGAAGCUUCCUCUAACUGACUGGGUUUGCAAUCAAGAGCCUUAUGCAUUGUUGUAUAGGACGGUCUGGAAAGCUUUAGAAAAAUGAAAUGUUGGCUCAUUUCUCAUGCCUUGCACACAGGGUAGGCAAACUGCAACUUGUGGGUGAAAUGUGGAUCCUGCCAAUAUUUUUAGGGCCCCUGUAUCCAUGGAGCCCCUGACACUCCUCACACACUCAGCAGUGAUUUCAGCUGUUGGCAGGUUCUUCUCCUGAAAAUUAAGAUAAGUCAAAGGAAAAAGGGAGGGGAAAGCCUUCUUUGCCUCCUCCUGUCUUGUGCCACUUCUGGGAGGAUGUUUUCUAUUUUUUUAAUUAAUGAUGCAGCACAUCAGCACUGCCUUAAUACUGUCUAAUCCCCCCGACACUUCCUCUGCCCCUCCAUGGUGCAGAGGAAGCAUUUAAUUAGCCAAUAUUGUGAAGUGGCUGUGUGGGAAAUCACAAGCUGAAGGAGCCUUUGGUUUUUUCCAGCGACCACCCCAAACAGAGCAAUUCAAAUACAUGCAUCAAAAAAGUAGAAGCCCUUGACAGGGACCCAGAAAGGUAUGGAUAGGAAUGCUUGGGGGAUAGUCUGGUUCAUUCCAGUGAUUAGGACCUAUGGUUGCUGGAAAAAAAGGAGUGAACCAGCCUGUCCCCACAGUGGAACAAACAGCGGUUAAAUACCCAUCUGAUAGCAUCCUAAAAGAGAAAGAUUAUUUCACAUUCCAAGGAUUGGUUCUGGGUGUGUAAUGUGAACAUUCCUUGGGCUUUUUGUUGUAGUUGUCAUGUGCCAUGAAGUCUCCUCCAACCCCAGCAACCCUAUGAAUGAACAAUCUCCAAAAUGUCCUGACUUCAACAGUCCUGUUCAGCUCCUGUAAACUCAAGCCUCUUCAGGGAGUCAAUUCAUUUCAUGUUUGGUUUUCCUCUUUUUCUGCUGCCUUCAGCUUUUCCUAGCAUUAUUGUCUUUCCAGAGAAUCUUGCCUUCUCAUGAGGUGGCCAAAGCAGAUGCCGAAAAUCCAGUAUCCAAU
Pogona vitticeps (central bearded dragon) is the source of this 1586-nucleotide long non-coding RNA. Lineage: Eukaryota; Metazoa; Chordata; Lepidosauria; Squamata; Agamidae. The record is from Ensembl.